This 178-nucleotide non-coding RNA is filed under the name Clostridium cylindrosporum DSM 605. Its description in RNAcentral is "6S / SsrS RNA". It matches the Rfam family "6S / SsrS RNA". From Rfam's summary of the family: E. coli 6S RNA was the first non coding RNA to be sequenced, but its function was unknown until recently. The record is from Rfam by way of RNAcentral. Lineage: Bacteria; Bacillati; Bacillota; Clostridia; Eubacteriales; Clostridiaceae.
AUAUGCCUGGGAUGCUCGUAUAGCUUUAGAUUUGAACCGACAUAGAAUAAAGGGGAGCUGAUGUCAAUCAGGAUAUGUUAUAUCUACUACGAGUAGGGAAACAGAAUACUUUUUGCAGGCACCCACCUGCUGAGAAGGCGGGUAUCAAAUUUAGAGUAAGCGACAUGUUGGGUUUACU